UGGCGAUGGAGGGAGCUGUUACUGCACAAACCUGAAGCCCCACCGAAACCAAAAUUUAUAAAUGAAUCUCAUUCACAGGACUUCCUCUGUUCUCCUCUCCUCCCCUGGAGUGCUGUCUGUCAACAACUCAACUGCACAAUAUCCGCUGAAUCCACUUCCACAAUUUACUUGAUUGUAACAGGCUUCUGCUGGUCAGGCGCAGCUAAGUGUAUCGGCUACACGCCCAAUCUCUCGAUUCUGCUGGAAGGCUGCCAGCCACAGGUCACAUGACCUGGAAGAAAAAACCUGGGAGACUUUUGGGAUCCCUAUUCGCAUGGGCUGGCUAUCAACCUGAAGGGAAGUCCAAAGGCUGAUGAACUGGUCUGUGUCUGUGUGAGACCGCAUUGCUCUGGUGUCCUAUAUGCCCUGGGAACACAACACCCAGAGCAAAUCUGCCUCUGUAACAACCUGACGCAGUAGACUAUGUUGUGUGGACAAUUUGUGAGUA
Micropterus salmoides (largemouth bass) is the source of this 487-nucleotide long non-coding RNA. RefSeq lists it as uncharacterized. The transcript has 5 exons. Lineage: Eukaryota; Metazoa; Chordata; Actinopteri; Centrarchiformes; Centrarchidae. The record is from RefSeq and is a predicted model, not a curated record.